GUCACCAGAACGGAUCCGGGUCUACUGUCGCCACGCCUUGGUGAACGGGAAAUCCGGUGCGAUACCGGUGCGGCCCUCGCCACUGUGAUCGGGAAGUCCGGCUCCGGCCCCUGGCCCUGUCCCCCGACAGGACCGACGGGCAGCCACUGGGUCCACUUGGGGCCUGUCGUCACAUUCCUGUCGUCCGCCCGGAGGGCGGGAAUGUGACGACAGACCCUAGGACCCGGGAAGGCGGAGCACGGGCGGUGGUACCCGUCAGCCAGGAGACCGGCCAAGGCGCGUCAACCAUC
Molecule: non-coding RNA, 290 nt
Filed under: Streptomyces sp.
Lineage: Bacteria; Bacillati; Actinomycetota; Actinomycetes; Kitasatosporales; Streptomycetaceae
Source: RNAcentral